CAGCACCUCAAGUGGUCAGGAUGAUUAUUGGGCCUAAAGCAUCCGUAGCCGGCGCUUUAAGUUUUCGGUUAAAUCUGUACGCUCAACGUACAGGCUGCCGGGAAUACUGCAGCGCUAGGGAGUGGGAGAGGUAGACGGUACUCGGUAGGAAGGGGUAAAAUCCUUUGAUCUAUUGAUGACCACCUGUGGCGAAGGCGGUCUACCAGAACACGUCCGACGGUGAGGGAUGAAAGCUGGGGGAGCAAACCGGAUUAGAUACCCGAGUAGUCC
RNAcentral lists this ribosomal RNA (270 nucleotides) under uncultured archaeon. RNAcentral describes it as "partial 16S ribosomal RNA". It matches the Rfam family "Archaeal small subunit ribosomal RNA", at positions 477 to 747 of the family's 1478-position model. The record is from RNAcentral.